GCGGACAUAGUUCAACAGCAAGAAUCCGGCGUUGCCAGCGCCGGGAUGCGGGUUGGAGCCCCGCUGUCCGCACCA
RNAcentral lists this transfer RNA (75 nucleotides) under Gammaproteobacteria bacterium. RNAcentral's name for it is "tRNA-Gly". It matches the Rfam family "tRNA". Rfam says of the family: Transfer RNA (tRNA) molecules are approximately 80 nucleotides in length. Their secondary structure includes four short double-helical elements and three loops (D, anti-codon, and T loops). The record is from RNAcentral. Lineage: Bacteria; Pseudomonadati; Pseudomonadota; Gammaproteobacteria.